ACACUCCUGCGGGAGGCAGCAGUGGGGAAUAUUGCACAAUGGGCGCAAGCCUGAUGCAGCGACGCCGCGUGGGGGAUGAAGGCCUUCGGGUUGUAAACUCCUUUCGCUAGGGACGAAGCUUUUUUGUGACGGUACCUAGAUAAGAAGCACCGGCUAACUACGUGCCAGCAGCCGCGGUAAUACGUAGGGUGCGAGCGUUGUCCGGAAUUACUGGGCGUAAAGGGCUCGUAGGUGGUUUGUCGCGUCGUCUGUGAAAUUCUGGGGCUUAACUCCGGGCGUGCAGGCGAUACGGGCAUAACUUGAGUGCUGUAGGGGUAACUGGAAUUCCUGGUGUAGCGGUGAAAUGCGCAGAUAUCAGGAGGAACACCGGUGGCGAAGGCAGGUUACUGGGCAGUUACUGACGCUGAGGAGCGAAAGCAUGGGUAGCGAACAGGAUUAGAAACCCUGGUAGUCCCAUG
Molecule: ribosomal RNA, 458 nt
Filed under: uncultured organism
Description: partial 16S ribosomal RNA
Rfam family: Bacterial small subunit ribosomal RNA
Source: RNAcentral